GCUGUGGCGUCUGUCCUGCAGCAGCACUUCCUGCUCUUCAGCCAGCGGCUGCACUCCUCUGAGGUGGAGAGGCGGAGCCUACGGCUGGAGUUAUCCAAUCAGAGCAGAGGAGCUGAGAAGGAGAAGGUGUGUGUGUUAUUGUGUGUGUGUUUAAAUGUGUGUUAAUGUGUGUGUGUCCUCAGCGCUCCCUGAGGAUUGUGGGUAAACACCUGGUGGAGCUUCAGUGGAACAGGAAGCAGCUGAAGAAGAAACUGAAGGAAGCUCACAGGUACUUCCUGUCACACACACACACACACACACACACACGAGCACUCACUGUGUGUGUGUGUGUGUGUGUGUGUUCUUCUUUAGACGCAGUGAUCACAUAAUCAGGUGGAUGAAGGCUGCAGAGAUGAGCUGUAACCUGGUCACAGAGAGCCUCAGCCAAUCACAGCACCCCCUGAGGGCAGUGCCCCUCCUCAUGCUCAGUAGAACAGAGAGCAUGCUUGGAGCUCCAGAGCUGGAGGCGUGUCAGAGGUUCCUCUCGGCCGUCUCUCAGCUCUGUCAUGUCUCCUGCUCCAGGAUUGGUCGGCUGGAACAAGAGGUGCCAAAGUUCACAGAAACGUUUCCACUGAUCAACGUGAAAACAACCACUGUGUCACCAUGUGAUCAGUCAAAGCUCCGCCCUUUUCAAAUAAACCCAACCCCCUCUGUGACGUGAGCCCCCCCCCCUUCUGUUUUACCUG
Molecule: long non-coding RNA, 725 nt
Filed under: Gouania willdenowi (blunt-snouted clingfish)
Lineage: Eukaryota; Metazoa; Chordata; Actinopteri; Blenniiformes; Gobiesocidae
Description: lncRNA (ENSGWIG00000002996.1)
Source: RNAcentral